Molecule: ribosomal RNA, 466 nt
Filed under: uncultured bacterium
Lineage: Bacteria
Description: partial 16S ribosomal RNA
Rfam family: Bacterial small subunit ribosomal RNA
Source: RNAcentral
GAUGAACGCUGGCGGCGCGCCUAACACAUGCAAGUCGAACGAUUAAAGCACCUUCGGGUGUGUAUAAAGUGGCGAACGGCUGAGUAACACGUGGGCAACCUGCCCCUUUCAUUGGGAUAGCCACGGGAAACCGUGGAUAUACCGAAUACUUCGAGACUUCCGCAUGGAAGACUCGAGAAAGCCCCGGCGGAGAGGGAUGGGCCCGCGGCCUGUUAGCUUGUUGGUGGGGUAACGGCCUACCAAGGCAAUGAUGGGUAGCUGGGUUGAGAGACCGACCAGCCAGAUUGGGACUGAGACACGGCCCAGACUCCUACGGGAGGCAGCAGUGGGGAAUCUUGCACAAUGGGCGAAAGCCUGAUGCAGCGACGCCGCGUGCGGGAUGAAGGCCUUCGGGUUGUAAACCGCUUUCAGCAGGGACGAGGCGAAAGUGACGGUACCUGCAGAAGAAGCCCCGGCUAACUACGUG